Molecule: ribosomal RNA, 253 nt
Filed under: uncultured bacterium
Lineage: Bacteria
Description: partial 16S ribosomal RNA
Rfam family: Bacterial small subunit ribosomal RNA
Source: RNAcentral
UACGAAGGGGGCUAGCGUUGCUCGGAAUCACUGGGUUUAAAGGGUGCGUAGGUGGGUCUGUAAGUCAGUGGUGAAAUCUCCGAGCUUAACUUGGAAACUGCCAUUGAUACUAUGGAUCUUGAAUAUUGUGGAGGUCAGCGGAAUAUGUCAUGUAGCGGUGAAAUGCUUAGAUAUGACAUAGAACACCAAUUGCGAAGGCAGCUGGCUACACAUAUAUUGACACUGAGGCACGAAAGCGUGGGGAUCAAACAGG